This is a long non-coding RNA of Homo sapiens (human), 424 nucleotides long. RefSeq lists it as uncharacterized. The transcript has 2 exons. NCBI's taxonomy places the organism in Eukaryota, Metazoa, Chordata, Mammalia, Primates, Hominidae. The record is from RefSeq and is a predicted model, not a curated record.
CAGGCCUUACUUCUAACAGAAUACUUUUUCAUCGAGUUCACACACCAUAGCACUUGAAUGGGGUGGUACUUCACAAACCACCCUAUGGGUGGAGACUAGACCACAAGACCCCUUAAAGAACUUUCCAAUUAUGACUUUUUUUUUUUAUGAUUUAAAAAAUUGGAAAUUUCCAGGUAACUGAAAAACAAUGGAGAAAAAUAAAGAAAAAAAAAAUCUACACAAAUGCAAGGCCCUCAAUAUGACUUAAGACAGAGAAUAUCCAGAGUUUAAAUAACAGGGGUUACUACGAGAAACUGUGAUGGAGGAAGUUGUUAUCGCUAAUGGCUCUGAAGGUUGUUAACGUUAAUGGAUUAGAACUGGAGGCGUGUUAAACUCAGUGAUUUCAGGUAGCAGGGGAAUUAAAUAAAAGAUUUUCUAGGCUCUG